GGGACAGUGGCGAAACUGGUUGAAACGCACUAGAUUUAGGAUCUAGCACAGAUUAACGAUCACAUUGUGGGUUCGAAUCCCACCUGUCCUA
Molecule: transfer RNA, 91 nt
Filed under: Podoviridae sp. ct8Lf7
Lineage: Duplodnaviria; Heunggongvirae; Uroviricota; Caudoviricetes
Description: tRNA-Leu
Rfam family: tRNA
About the family: Transfer RNA (tRNA) molecules are approximately 80 nucleotides in length. Their secondary structure includes four short double-helical elements and three loops (D, anti-codon, and T loops).
Source: RNAcentral